This 405-nucleotide ribosomal RNA is filed under the name Triticum aestivum (bread wheat). RNAcentral describes it as "partial small subunit ribosomal RNA". Lineage: Eukaryota; Viridiplantae; Streptophyta; Magnoliopsida; Poales; Poaceae. The record is from RNAcentral.
GUCAUUCUUACUAAAGAUAACCUUAUUAAGAGGAAUUGACAUGGAAGUCCGCAAUGUGUAUUUUGUCACCAUGAUGAGACAAUAAAACAUUUAUUCUUCCAAUGCAAAUUGGCUCGUUCUAUAUGGUUAGUCAUCCAAAUAGCUUCUAGCUUGUAUCCUCCUUGUAGUGUUGCUAAUGUAUUUGGCAACUGGUUACACGGGAUUGAUGACAGGUUUAGAACUUUUCUCAGGGUGGGAGCGCUUGCCGUUAUUUGGUCGCUUUGGCUAUGUAGAAAUGAUAAGGUUUUUAACGAUAAAAGUACUUCCCUGAUGCAGGUUCUCUACAGAUGUACCGGGACUCUUCAUUUAUGGUCCUCUCUACAACGUGUGGAGAAUCGAGACCUAUUUACGGAGGUGUGUACAUGA